UCCUAGCCCAGAUAGCAGUGGAAAUCCUUUAUUAUUUUUUCUUAAAAAAUAAUAAAGAUUGAAACGGAUAGCGGGACACGAG
This 82-nucleotide small RNA is filed under the name Flavobacterium xueshanense. RNAcentral's name for it is "Flavo-1 RNA". It matches the Rfam family "Flavo-1 RNA". Lineage: Bacteria; Pseudomonadati; Bacteroidota; Flavobacteriia; Flavobacteriales; Flavobacteriaceae. The record is from RNAcentral.